This 500-nucleotide ribosomal RNA is filed under the name uncultured Glomeromycotina. RNAcentral describes it as "partial small subunit ribosomal RNA". It matches the Rfam family "Eukaryotic small subunit ribosomal RNA", at positions 591 to 1092 of the family's 1831-position model. Lineage: Eukaryota; Fungi; Glomeromycota. The record is from RNAcentral.
CCAAUAGCGUAUAUUAAAGUUGUUGCAGUUAAAAAGCUCGUAGUUGAAUUUCGGGGUUAGUAGGUUGGUCAUGCCUCUGGUAUGUACUGGUCUCACUGAUUCCUCCUUCCUGAUGAACCUUAAUGCCAUUAAUUUGGUGUUUUGGGGAAUUUGGACUGUUACUUUGAAAAAAUUAGAGUGUUUAAAGCAAGCUAACGCUUGAAUACAUUAGCAAGGAAUAAUGAAAUAGGACGUUCGAUCCUAUUUUGUUGGUUUCUAGGAUUGACGUAAUGAUUAAUAGGGAUAGUUGGGGGCAUUAGUAUUCAAUUGUCAGAGGUGAAAUUCUUGGAUUUAUUGAAGACUAACUACUGCGAAAGCAUUUGCCAAGGAUGUUUUCAUUAAUCAAGAACGAAAGUUAGGGGAUCGAAGACGAUCAGAUACCGUCGUAGUCUUAACCAUAAACUAUGCCGACUAGGGAUCGGAUGAUGUUAAUUUUUUAAUGACUCAUUCGGCGCCUUACG